AACGAACGCUGGCGGCAUGCCUAACACAUGCAAGUCGAACGAGACCUUCGGGUCUAGUGGCGCACGGGUGCGUAACGCGUGGGAACCUGCCCUUAGGUUCGGAAUAACUCCCCGAAAGGGGUGCUAAUACCGGAUAAUGUCUUCGGACCAAAGAUUUAUCGCCUUUGGAUGGGCCCGCGUUGGAUUAGCGAGUUGGUAGGGUAAAAGCCUACCAAGGCGACGAUCCAUAGCUGGUCUGUGAGGAUGAUCAGCCACACUGGGACUGAGACACGGCCCAGACUCCUACGGGAGGCAGCAGUGGGGAAUAUUGGACAAUGGGCGAAAGCCUGAUCCAGCAAUGCCGCGUGAGUGAUGAAGGCCUUAGGGUUGUAAAGCUCUUUUACCCGGGAUGAUAAUGACAGUACCGGGAGAAUAAGCUCCGGCUAACUCCGUG
Molecule: ribosomal RNA, 433 nt
Filed under: uncultured bacterium
Lineage: Bacteria
Description: partial 16S ribosomal RNA
Rfam family: Bacterial small subunit ribosomal RNA
Source: RNAcentral